UCUCCGUUGGUGAACCAGCGGAGGGAUCAUUACCGAAGUUACCUUCAAAACCCACUGUGAACCUUACCUCUUGCCGCGUUGUCUCGGCGGGAGGCGGUGUGCGUCGCGCGCCCCAUCGGGCCGCGCCGCUCCCGGCCCCGCCGGCAGCGCCAAACUCUAAAUGCACAGCGGACUGUACGUUCUGAUUUACAAAAAAAACAAGUUAAAACUUUCAACAACGGAUCUCUUGGUUCUG
This 235-nucleotide unclassified non-coding RNA is filed under the name plant metagenome. Its description in RNAcentral is "partial contains small subunit ribosomal RNA, internal transcribed spacer 1, and 5.8S ribosomal RNA". The record is from RNAcentral.